UACGAAGGGGGCUAGCGUUGUUCGGAAGCACUGGGCGUAAAGGGUGCGUAGGCGGGCCCUUAAGUCAGUGGUGAAAGCUCCGAGCUUAACUCGGAAACUGCCAUUGAUACUAUAGGUCUUGAAUUCGGUCGAGGUUGGCGGAAUGUGUCGUGUAGCGGUGAAAUGCUUAGAUAUGACACAGAACACCGAUUGCGAAGGCAGCUAGCUAGACCGACAUUGACGCUGAGGCACGAAAGCGUGGGGAUCAAACAGG
This 253-nucleotide ribosomal RNA is filed under the name uncultured bacterium. RNAcentral describes it as "partial 16S ribosomal RNA". It matches the Rfam family "Bacterial small subunit ribosomal RNA", at positions 524 to 776 of the family's 1533-position model. The record is from RNAcentral.